GAGCCCACGUCCUAUCAGCUUGUUGGUGAGGUGACGGCUUACCAAGGCUAUGACGGGUAGCUGGUCUGAGAGGAUGGUCAGCCACACUGGGACUGAGACACUGCCCAGACUCCUACGGGAGGCUGGCAGUCGAGGAUCAUUCGCAAUGCGCGAUAAGCGUGACCGGUGCUACGCCCGCGUGCAGGAUGAAGGCCUUCGAGUCGUAAACUUGGUGUCAUGAAGGAACAAUGUCCGGGAUGUUAAUCACCAUCUCGGGGUGAAUAAUACCUCAAGAGGAAGCCACGUCUAACUCUGCGCCACAAGCCGCGGUAAUACAGAGGCGACGAGCGUUCUUCGGAUUUACUGGGCAAAAAGGCUGCGUAGCCGCUUCUGUAUGUCGGAUGUGAAAUCUCACAGCUCAACUGGUGGAAUGGCAUUCGAAACUGCAGGCCUGGACUACAGGAGAGGAGAGCGGAAUUCUCGGUGUAGCGGUGAAAUGCGUAGAUAUCGAGAGGAACACCGGUGACGAAGACGGCUCUCUGGACUGAUACUGACGCUGAGGCACGAAAGCGUGGGGAGCAAACAGGAUUAGAUAUCGUGGUAGUCCACGCCGUAAACGAUGGAUACUAGGUGUAGGGG
RNAcentral lists this ribosomal RNA (618 nucleotides) under uncultured Verrucomicrobiota bacterium. RNAcentral describes it as "bacterial SSU rRNA". It matches the Rfam family "Bacterial small subunit ribosomal RNA", at positions 227 to 828 of the family's 1533-position model. The record is from RNAcentral. Lineage: Bacteria; Pseudomonadati; Verrucomicrobiota.